This 226-nucleotide unclassified non-coding RNA is filed under the name Hevea brasiliensis (rubber tree). The record is from RNAcentral. Lineage: Eukaryota; Viridiplantae; Streptophyta; Magnoliopsida; Malpighiales; Euphorbiaceae.
CGGAACCAGUGGACUGCUUAUGUAGGGUAGUUUUCUGUAUGGCAAUUUAUGUUGAGAAUGUUAGUGGUUAGGUUCGGAGAACUCAAUCAUUAAUUCUGUAGAUAAGUUAGCUAUGAGCAAACAACAAUCUCAGAUGAUGUAAUAAUGUUUGAUGCCUUGUGGUGUCUCGGGAGACUUGAAAUCUCUUUAGCUGAGGGUUGUAGGUUUUCUAAAUAAUCAAACUGAG